CGAACAGUUCGAAGCAAGCGUUAUUCUCGUCGAGAUUGAUAUCAAUGCGAGGGAAGAACCGAACAGGAGUCAUGACUGAUCGGUCGCGCAUGCGCAGUUCACAGAAUGUCGUAGUACGAAUUUUAUCCACGACGAAAGGGCAAGUAACGUUCCUUGUAAUUGCAGUGAGAAGAAUUUUAUGAGAUUCUACGAACAGGAUUCGCAACAAGGAAAAAUUGACGUUGUUUAUCUCGCCAGUCAUGACAGCGUUUGGAAACGUCAUUUACGCGCCAAAACGUGUCACCUAUCCAACUGUUGAACGCGUGGAGGUCAAUGCGUGCAAUAGAACCCUUUUACGUGAGUCAUGAUGAUUUUCGUCGACAAUUUAUCAAGGUAAGUGGGUUUUUUUAUAACCUUAAUCAUCUGGAAACUUAUGCUGUUUUGAUAAGGGUAUGAUUGAUGAAACAAUAUGAUAUACAAUGCAAUGUCAUUUCAUGUGAUGCACAGUUGUAAGUAUAAUUGAAAUUUUUAAUGCAAAUGCUACCAUAAGGGCCUCAUCGUCUCUUGAUUUUUGACCAAUAAAUAAAACUAUUCGAUUCAAAUCUCUAAACUUCUAAUAUUAGAAGUGAUUUGUAGAUUUUCAAACUUAAGGGUUUAGAAAUUUGAAGAUCAGCUGCCUUUAUUAUUAAUCAGUCACAUGUGUCAUAAGUUAUAGCAACUUUGUCUUAAAUAUAAAUGCUUCACGCUUUUAAUGUUAUUCUACAUUCUACUUGAAUAUAUAAUACUUGUGUAAGAAAUAUUUGGAACAAGGUAAGUACCCUUAAUGUCUAAAGAAGCACUGACUUUAAAGAAUAUAAUUUAACAAGAUUUUCUCUGGGGGAUAAUAGUGCGCAUACCCUCCAUACAGUAAGUAAUUAACAGAAAUGGAUGAUAUGCAUGAUAUGCAUGACCUAGUUCAUAAGCCACAGUCUCAUUUGAGUUCAUUCACCUUGCAUAUAUUUAUGUGGAUGUUUUAAAUUUUAACCAUUAACAUACAAAUCAUUAACUGCUAAUUAUUGCUUGCACAGAAUAAUUGAACUAAUUUCAUAUAAAUUAUUUGUCCAAAUAACCAAACGUAUUAUUUAUUAAUAUGUGAAUAUGAAAUUGAUUGAAUUCCAGAAACACAGUACAUGUAUAAGUUUGUAUCAAAUAAAUGAAUUAAAUCCGUUAUUGCAAAUGUAUUAAUUACCCACACAAUUUUCAGGAAGCAGUUCAUUAGUGAAAUACACAAAUUGUAUGUUAACAAGCUCACUGAAGUUUUGUGCAGUUGAAGAUUUUUGGUCAAACAACUUGAAGCAACGAAUAAACCAGGGGAAGGAGACUCGAGAGGGUGUGGCCAAACGGCCGACAGAAGCCGAAGUGUACCGAGGAUGAACUACAGGGAAGCUGAAGC
RNAcentral lists this long non-coding RNA (1411 nucleotides) under Megachile rotundata (alfalfa leafcutting bee). RNAcentral's name for it is "uncharacterized LOC105662258, transcript variant X1". Lineage: Eukaryota; Metazoa; Arthropoda; Insecta; Hymenoptera; Megachilidae. The record is from RNAcentral.